RNAcentral lists this long non-coding RNA (921 nucleotides) under Ananas comosus (pineapple). RNAcentral's name for it is "long non-coding RNA (ACOM_LNC041384)". Lineage: Eukaryota; Viridiplantae; Streptophyta; Magnoliopsida; Poales; Bromeliaceae. The record is from RNAcentral.
GAAAAUGAAUAUUCUCUAAAAAGUGAUGAUAGAAAUUUUGUAAUCAUGAUCGAGAGUAUAGAUCUUGUUCUAAAUAGUUUAAAAAAUUUUCUAACCAAAAUUCAAUUGAUUUGGAUAGCUUUACACUGUUAAACGAGAAAACCCCUCAUAUCAACCAUUAAAAUUACUAAUUUUGAAACCCUUUGAUCAUUAAGUAAAUGAUGUCGAAAGAUUUGAAAUUUAAUUUCUAAAUUCUUCAAGUGAUAUAGAUCAUGUUCAACGGUGCCGAUUGUCGAUUUGAAAGCUCCAUCAUCGAAAACAAAUGGAUUGCAACGAAGCCCGUUUACUACUGAUAGCAUUCCAGCUCAACUCUCAAAAUACAUAUACUCUAUAUAGAGCUAGGCUGGUAUACUAUCGGUAGCACAGAGGCUUCUGUGCUACCAAGUUGUUUUCAAUGAUGUGGCUUCCAAAUCGACGAUCGGCUCCGUUAGACUUGAUCUACAUUACUGAAAGUAUUUGAAAACUAAAUUUCAUAAUUUUUCGACGUCAUUUACCUAUCAAACGAGUAGUCUAAAAAUGAACGGCUGAAAAUAAAAAUCUAUUAAAAAAUGAUGAUAAAAGACUUAAAUUUAAGAUCAGAUGUACUGAUCUUACUCUAAAUAGUGAAAAGAAUUUUCUAUAAAAAUUUCAUUAGAUUUGAAUUGUUUUACACCGUUAAAUUCACAAACGCAUCACAUCUAUCAUUAAAAUUAUCAAUUUUGAGACAUUUUGAUCACUAGCCAAAUAAUGUCAAAAAAUUAUAAAAUUUAGUUUUCAAAUACUUUCAAUAGUGUAGAUCAAGUCUAACGAAGCCGAUCGUCGAUUUGGACGCCGCAUCAUUAAAAACAACUUGAUAGCACGGAGGCCUCCGUGCUACUGAUAGUAUACCACCCUAGCUCCUCU